AGGACGAACGCUGGCGGCGUGCUUAACACAUGCAAGUCGAGCGGAAAGGCCCUUCGGGGUACUCGAGCGGCGAACGGGUGAGUAACACGUGAGCAACCUGCCCCUGGCUCUGGGAUAGCCUCCGGAAACGGGGAUUAAUACCGGACAUUCUCCGCCUUCCGCAUGGUUGGCGGUGGAAAGUUUUUUCGACUAGGGAUGGGCUCGCGGCCUACCAGCUUGUUGGUGGGUAACGGCCUACCAAGGCGACGACGGGUAG
RNAcentral lists this ribosomal RNA (256 nucleotides) under uncultured bacterium. RNAcentral's name for it is "partial small subunit ribosomal RNA". It matches the Rfam family "Bacterial small subunit ribosomal RNA", at positions 26 to 286 of the family's 1533-position model. The record is from RNAcentral.